GGAGAUGAAUUUGCAAGUAACUUCGCGCUGUUUGACAUGUCCUUGAGCUGAAGCAGCGUGGCAGUAAAAAACAGACACAGGAGCGUGGGAAUGUCAAGAAUGAAUUAAGUAAGCUAAAACAAAUGAGGUAGCGCAAAUAGAACAGCCUAUUAGAAUGUAGCAUAAGGCGUGUGCUUAGAGCUAGCUGACAAAUAACAGAACCUGUUUGUGCGCAUGAUCGCGUGGAGAAUGUGUUGAAAAGAUAUAUAAGCAGUGAAAAGCUGACAAUAAAGGUCUUCUGCGGAACAUCUGUCAGGAGUCCGUGACAUUCAUCCCUGCAAAUGGUGACCAUGAUGUGGGAGAGCAACGCUGAGGAGCAGCGUCUGCAGGGACCCCAGCCGGAUGAAUCAAGCUGAUGGCAGGACCGCAGCUUUAAUCCCGGGACAUCACCUUAAUAUUACAGUUGCAUGUUAUAGGAAUUACUACAGCAGGAACCACUUGAACCAAUGGAGGACAAGCCUUUCAAGGAGCAGUGCAAGUGCAGCAGUGACCCGAUCCGAGCUGGUUUUGGUGCCCAGUAACUCCACGCAACACACCACCUCUCCUGUUCUGAGUGACCACAAGAACAGAUGGAGCCCAGCGCCGUGGACUAAAUGAUAUCCGUGUAUUUUAUCAAAGGAUGGGAAGGGGGGUGGACGUUAAUGACGUUGCAUUGGAUAACGUGGAACCUGAGCAUGAUGUAAAUGGUAUGGAAUAAGGGGUGGAUACUGUCCUGGUUUCAGCUGCGAUAGAGUUAAAUUUCUUUGUAGUAGCUAGUAUGAGAUUAUGUAUUUAACAAUAUUGGUGGCAAAUAUUUGAUAAAUAGUUUACAUCUGUUAGACUGUCUUUUUGUAUGUGAACAGCAAUGCAUAACUCAUCUUCCUAGAACUGCAGAACAUUCAUUAAAUGGAAAAAUUAAAAUUAUUUGGGUGCUUAAGGCUACUGGCAGUUCAAAUAGGUGUAAAAUUAGGGCUUUUCCUUAAAGCUGAUAUUUCUGGCUGUGAUCUAAUACUGCACCAGAAUACUAGAAUAACUCUAUUUACAUAUCUUUGGCAAAAUAAUAAAACACCCCAGAAGUGA
This is a non-coding RNA of Phalacrocorax carbo (great cormorant), 1098 nucleotides long. The record is from RefSeq and is a predicted model, not a curated record. Lineage: Eukaryota; Metazoa; Chordata; Aves; Suliformes; Phalacrocoracidae.